AGAAUCAACGCUGGCGGCGUGCCUAACACAUGCAAGUCGAACGAGAAAGUGGAGCAAUCCAUGAGUAAAGUGGCGACCGGGUGAGUAACACGUGACUAACCUACCUUCGAGUGGGGGAUAACCUCGGGAAAACCGAGGCUAAUACCGCAUAACAUCGCAAGAUCAAAGCAGCAAUGCGCUGGAAGAGGGGGUCGCGGCUGAUUAGCUAGUUGGCGGGUAACGGCCCACAAGGCGAAGAUCGGUAUCCGGCCUGAGAGGGCGCACGGACACACUGGAACUGAAACACGGUCCAGACUCCUACGGGAGGCAGCAGUGGGGAAUUUUGCGCAAUGGGGGAAACCCUGACGCAGCAACGCCGCGUGGAGGAUGAAGCCCCUUGGGGCGUAAACUCCUUUCGACCAAGACGAUAAUGACGGUACUGGUGGAAGAAGCACCGGCUAACUCUGCGCCAGCAGCCGC
RNAcentral lists this ribosomal RNA (459 nucleotides) under uncultured bacterium. RNAcentral's name for it is "SSU rRNA". It matches the Rfam family "Bacterial small subunit ribosomal RNA", at positions 26 to 518 of the family's 1533-position model. The record is from RNAcentral.